RNAcentral lists this transfer RNA (74 nucleotides) under Methylobacterium nodulans ORS 2060. It matches the Rfam family "tRNA". Rfam says of the family: Transfer RNA (tRNA) molecules are approximately 80 nucleotides in length. Their secondary structure includes four short double-helical elements and three loops (D, anti-codon, and T loops). Further hydrogen bonds mediate the characteristic L-shaped molecular structure. tRNAs have two regions of fundamental functional importance: the anti-codon, which is responsible for specific mRNA codon recognition, and the 3' end, to which the tRNAs corresponding amino acid is attached (by aminoacyl-tRNA synthetases). tRNAs cope with the degeneracy of the genetic code in two manners: having more than one tRNA (with a specific anti-codon) for a particular amino acid; and 'wobble' base-pairing, i.e. permitting non-standard base-pairing at the 3rd anti-codon position. Lineage: Bacteria; Pseudomonadati; Pseudomonadota; Alphaproteobacteria; Hyphomicrobiales; Methylobacteriaceae. The record is from Rfam by way of RNAcentral.
UGCGGCGUAGGGCAGAGGUCAGCCCGCCAGGCUCAUACCCUGUGAGGUCAGAGGUUCGAAUCCUCUCGCCGCAA